This 2084-nucleotide long non-coding RNA is filed under the name Sus scrofa (pig). The record is from RNAcentral. Lineage: Eukaryota; Metazoa; Chordata; Mammalia; Artiodactyla; Suidae.
GAUCUUUGAUAUUCAGUAGGCCAAAUAUUGGGUGAUUAACAGAACCAUUGAACAUAUUUCAAACAUGCUGAUGUGUGUAGACAUGCUCACUUACAGCUUUUGAAAGGAAAUGUAUCCUCUGCAUUCCAAUAGCCAUUCUAGCGAGAAAAGUAUUUAUAGGAAAAAUUAUUCACUUAUGCCUAACAAGAAAAAGGAAACUCAUAAAAAAUUUAAAUACUGUGAUUUGCCACUUUUUAUAAUCACAGCAAGAAAGAACAUAUGCACACUUGGAGUUUAAUGACGAGUAUUUAAAAAAAAAAAAAAAAACCUGGAAGCUACAGAAAGCCACAGGAUUUAGCAAACCUUGUAUUUGAUAUGACAGAAACUCACUUAUGCACCUGGUCAAUUCUGUGCCUCUGUUUAGCUAUUAAAUACUUGCUGAAUUCAGUACCACUUUGCAGUGUAGCUGUAGAGCUCCCCCAAGAAAAGGCUCCACCCCCACCAUUUCUAACCACGCUUUCUCUGGUGUCCAGGCCCAGUACAUCUUUUUACAUCAGUGUGUUCUGGAUCUCUUAUCAAGUAAAGGAGGGAAUCCGCCCGUCUGCUUUGUGAACUACGCAGCACUUCAGAAGAUGGACUCUCUGGACGCCAUGGAAGGUGACGUUGAGCUCGAAUGGGAAGAAACCACCAUGUAAGCAUUCGGCCAGAGCUGCCGCUGGAGGCACCUUUGAGUCCCAGGGCCCAAUCACCCUUCGCGCUUCUGAAUGGAAUUGUGCAACCUAAAAUAAAUCGCUGUGCUUCCCUCACUGUGCCUUACUAAAUGGGUUGACAUGUUAUGAAGAGUUCUAGGAAAUAGCUCAUUCAGGAUGUUAUCCCCUUAUACAGAACACAUUUAAAAUGUUUAAGAGAAGACACCCCAGAGACUUUUGGAGGCUUGUGUAUUUUGGGAAUGAGCCAAAUAUGAAGUUAGGGUUAUAUUUACAUGAAUGUUUCCAUGUGCGUUGUCCCUACACUUCGGGUCCAGUCUUGACCAAAAGUUGUCAAUGUUGGCUCAGUCGUGUCAUUUUGGGCUCCAGGGUGUGGAUAUUCCUUUCGGAUCACUUCCAAGACUGUCAUAAUGAUCCGCACUUCCACGUAUGCGCCUGUGUUUUGAAUCCUCAGUUUUAUGAGUGCUGAGAUAGCAUCUCAUGAUCUCCAACAGCUGAACAGUAACCCCCUGACACUGCAGGGAUUACUUAGCCUUGAUACAACACACAGUAGCUCUUUGGGAAUACUUAGGGCUAUUUAGAUUGCAUUGUAAUCUCUAGUUUGGAAAAAAACAAAAGGAAAAGUUAAACAGUGCAGUUGCUUAUAUGAAGUUGCACUUUUCUAGCCUGUCCUCAUUUGUACAUUUUCAGGAACAAGCUGUACCCACUACCUUGUAUAUUUAAAUACACAGUUAAAUGUAUCAGUAUUUGUCCAUUUGAUAUAUAUUCAGCCUACUAACAGUCUGAAGAUUUUCUUCAGCAGAAAUGUAUGAAAACAUUAAUAAAAAUGUUGUGUUGCAAGUUUGUAAACUACUGAUGUGCUCCUGUGGUGCCAACAGAGACUUCUGAAUAGAUUACAUAAAAUAGUCUUUAUGUCAUUUCCCAAGAUUGAUUUUUAAGGGGUGUAUUUGGUGGAACUGAGAACAAAGAAAUUAACCAGAUUGUAGCAACUUAGUGAUUUUUUUAAAAGAAAAUAAAUUCACUCUCCUUUUUGUUAGAUACUAAGAAUGUACUAAGUUUUGAACUGCAAUGAAAUUAUUUUGGCAUAGAUUUCAAUUAAAGGUUAUAAGAUAGUAUUAAUCUAUUUCUUUUAUGCUGAAUUUUAGCUUCUGCUUAUUUUUGCUGGAAUAUAUAAAAAAUAUGAUGGCCAAUAAAAUUGAAUUUUAAGGAAUUGAGUUACUUUGCAGCAUGAUUUCAGAGGUCCUUAUAAACUUGAUUUUUUUUCUUUUUUGACCUAACCCAUGGCCUGUGGAGGUUCCUGGGUCAGGGAUCGAACCCAAACAACAGCAGCAACCAAAGCCACUGCAGUGACAAUGCUGUAUCCUUUACCACCUCAGUCACAAGAGAACUUCCAUAAAC